Molecule: long non-coding RNA, 215 nt
Filed under: Elaeis guineensis (African oil palm)
Lineage: Eukaryota; Viridiplantae; Streptophyta; Magnoliopsida; Arecales; Arecaceae
Description: long non-coding RNA (EGUI_LNC007019)
Source: RNAcentral
CGCCCCCCACAUAUCUCUCUCUCUGCUCUCUCUGAUCUCUCUUCUGCCUGCCAUCAUUUUCGCCGACUCCAGAGGCUUUGAGCUACCAUUUCUGCUAUACUAGAGCUUCAGCUUAUAGCCCCUCAUUGGUGCCGACGAGUAUGAGCAUGGCAGUUCGGGUUAUAAGAGAUGAAUGAACGUAUUUUUUUUUUUAAUCUCAUUCUAUUGGAAUGAGA